RNAcentral lists this small RNA (595 nucleotides) under Pan troglodytes (chimpanzee). RNAcentral's name for it is "retained intron". The record is from RNAcentral. Lineage: Eukaryota; Metazoa; Chordata; Mammalia; Primates; Hominidae.
GUAGAAGACCCAGCGGCCGCCGCGAGUGUGAGGAGGCAGGGCCUGGCGGGGCCUGGGUCUGGGCCUUGACCAAGGAGGCAGAGAAAGAUGGCCCAAGGAGGGCCCUGGGGUGAGUCUGAGCCAGGAGGCAGAGAAAGGUGGCCCAAGGAGGGCCCUGGGGUGCUGCUGUGGUCGGCCAACAAGGUGUUUGAGGAGCUGACGGACAUUGAGAGGCAGUUCCACAAGGCCUUCUACACGGUGCGGGCCUACCUCAACUGUGAGCGGUACUCCGUGGGCCUCCUGGACAUGACCAAGGAGAAGGAAUUUUUUGACGUGUGGCCUGUGCUGAUGGGAGAGUCCCAGCCGUACUUGGGCCCACGCACGCCUGAUGGCCGGGUGAGUCUUAGGGGAGGGGCCCAGGGCCUGUCCACACGCCUCUGUUUCCCUGACUCCAACUCCAGGGCAGGAGAGGGAGGGAUAGGGGUGGGGUUUAGGGAGGUGGGAACUGGCCGGUGGGACCCCGGGUGCCUGUCUGUGGUCUCCACCAGGCUCCCCUGCUGCUGCACUCCAGGGAUGGGGUGUCCAGGGCUGGUCCCUGAAUGAGGGCCGCCAGGCU